This 492-nucleotide ribosomal RNA is filed under the name uncultured bacterium. RNAcentral's name for it is "partial 16S ribosomal RNA". It matches the Rfam family "Bacterial small subunit ribosomal RNA", at positions 29 to 507 of the family's 1533-position model. The record is from RNAcentral.
AGUGAACGCUGGCGGUAGGCCUAACACAUGCAAGUCGAACGGCAGCACAGUAAGAGCUUGCUCUUACGGGUGGCGAGUGGCGGACGGGUGAGGAAUACAUCGGAAUCUACUUUUUCGUGGGGGAUAACGUAGGGAAACUUACGCUAAUACCGCAUACGACCUACGGGUGAAAGCAGGGGAUCUUCGGACCUUGCGCGAUUGAAUGAGCCGAUGUCGGAUUAGCUAGUUGGCGGGGUAAAGGCCCACCAAGGCGACGAUCCGUAGCUGGUCUGAGAGGCUGAUCAGCCACACUGGAACUGAGACACGGACCAGACUCCUACGGGAGGCAGCAGUGGGGAAUAUUGGACAAUGGGCGCAAGCCUGAUCCAGCCAUACCGCGUGGGUGAAGAAGGCCUUCGGGUUGUAAAGCCCUUUUGUUGGGAAAGAAAAGCAGCAGGUUAAUACCCCGCUGUUCUGACGGUACCCAAAGAAUAAGCACCGGCUAACUUCGUG